UACGUAGGGUGCAAGCGUUGUCCGGAAUUAUUGGGCGUAAAGAGCUCGUAGGCGGUCUGUCGCGUCGGAUGUGAAAAUCCAGGGCUCAACCCUGGACCUGCAUUCGAUACGGGCAGACUAGAGUUCGGUAGGGGAGACUGGAAUUCCUGGUGUAGCGGUGAAAUGCGCAGAUAUCAGGAGGAACACCGAUGGCGAAGGCAGGUCUCUGGGCCAUAACUGACGCUGAGAAGCGAAAGCAUGGGGAGCGAACAGG
Molecule: ribosomal RNA, 253 nt
Filed under: uncultured bacterium
Lineage: Bacteria
Description: partial 16S ribosomal RNA
Rfam family: Bacterial small subunit ribosomal RNA
Source: RNAcentral